This 278-nucleotide ribosomal RNA is filed under the name Clostridioides difficile. Its description in RNAcentral is "partial 16S ribosomal RNA". It matches the Rfam family "Bacterial small subunit ribosomal RNA", at positions 1265 to 1533 of the family's 1533-position model. The record is from RNAcentral. Lineage: Bacteria; Bacillati; Bacillota; Clostridia; Peptostreptococcales; Peptostreptococcaceae.
GAGCUAAUCCCUUAAAGCUACUCUCAGUUCGGAUUGUAGGCUGAAACUCGCCUACAUGAAGCUGGAGUUACUAGUAAUCGCAGAUCAGAAUGCUGCGGUGAAUGCGUUCCCGGGUCUUGUACACACCGCCCGUCACACCACGGGAGUUGGAGACGCCCGAAGCCGAUUAUCUAACCUUUUGGAAGAAGUCGUCGAAGGUGGAAUCAAUAACUGGGGUGAAGUCGUAACAAGGUAGCCGUAUCGGAAGGUGCGGCUGGAUCACCUCCUUUCUAAGGAGA